UCAACUUUGGCUUCUUGACAUA
This 22-nucleotide unclassified non-coding RNA is filed under the name Mus musculus (house mouse). RNAcentral describes it as "oocyte_clustered_small_RNA6615". Lineage: Eukaryota; Metazoa; Chordata; Mammalia; Rodentia; Muridae. The record is from RNAcentral.